This is a long non-coding RNA of Alligator mississippiensis (American alligator), 3588 nucleotides long. RefSeq lists it as uncharacterized. Lineage: Eukaryota; Metazoa; Chordata; Crocodylia; Alligatoridae. The record is from RefSeq and is a predicted model, not a curated record. The transcript has 2 exons.
GGGGCUGCUGAGCAUGUUUGAACCAGCUCCUCCUGCGCCUUGUUUAGGGGGUUCAGACAGGACUGAUCCUGCCCUGGGCAGGGGCUGGACUAGACGAGCCCUCCUGAAGGCCCUGCCAGCCCGGCUCUGCUAGGACUGUCUGAUCUGCAUGGCAUCCUACCCCAGCUUGCUGCAGACCCUGAAACGCCAUGCCCACGGCUCCUUGUGCCCAUCCAAGCCUUCAGCCAGUGUCCGUCCAUGGAGGGAAGAAGGACCCACUUGUUGUUAAUGGUUUGGAGCAGAAUCAGAUCAUGCUUGUAUACCUGAGGCCUUUUGUAGUCGGGGGAGGAGGGAGGGAAGGCAGGAUGUGGCCCAGGGUCCCUGCCCGACUGCCAUGUACAGGGCCUGGCACAAGCUGCUUUGUGAUGUAGCUCCCAUGUCACUCCAUCGCCACAGAGAUCAGGGAUGGGCAGGGAAUAAAUCCUAGGCCCCGGUGCUUUCUGGUCAGUCUCAGCGCAACCCGAGAGACUCAGCUAAGGUGUAGGGAGAGGUUUGUUUGUUUGAGAGAGUUUAGAGAUUAGAUUAGAUUAGAUAGAUUAGUAGCCAGUAGAGAGUUGUAGAGUUUAGAGAUACUAGAAUAGGUAGUAGUUAGGAGAGCAGGUAGAAGGAGGAGAUAAACUUUAGAUAGAUAGAGUUGAAUAGAUAGAAUAGGUAAUAGAUCUUAGUGAUGGUAGGUAGGGAAGAGCUCAGAUCCCCACGGCCUCGGGGUCUCAGCACUUGGGAGCUCGCUCCCAUCACUCUCCCAUUUCCAACCAGCUGCUCUGGCCCAGGCGGCAGGGAGAGACGGCCGAGGGACUGCCCAGUGCGGGUAAGGAGCCAGCAACACCUUGGGGGUUUGCAAGGAGGUGUGAAGCUGGCAUGGGCCCUCUGCAUACCCAGGCACGGGCUGAGCAGAGCUCUCCAGCUAGCAGUGAUGCUGUUGGCUCUUGCCAGGUGUGCUGGGGCUGCCUCUUGGUGAUGGGGUGGGUGGGAGCUCUGGGAAUAGGGCGCUGGGUCAGCACAGGCUUGGAAGGGCCUGAAAGGUUCCCCGUGGGUGCAGGGAGUGGCUUGCAGGCUGGUGGGGGGAAGAGAUGCCAAGGGGGCUUCUGCUGAGCAGCUCUUCUCCUCCGCCAGCUGCCCCGACUGCAGAUACCAGGAGGUUCUGGGGUGCAGCUGACCCCACAGCCUCCUCCUGGCACACUGUGGCCAACAAACAGACCGGUCUGGGUGCAGGCCCCCCUGCUGGUGCAUCCACCGUGCCAACGGGAAGAGGGGGAAGACGUGGGGACCAGUGAUGUGCGCAGGGGCAAGACCCAGAUACAAAUGAGACCUAGGGCAGUUGCUCCCUGAGUCAGACAGGCUGUGUCCUGUGCCAGGGCCCCCCAACAACAUGAAGCUGAGAGGUAACACUAGAGCCCGUCAUAAAAUCCUGCAUGGCCAGCAGACAAUCGGGUCAAGUGACUGGGGAGCAUUGUGGUGGCACCGUGGAGGUCCUGCUGGCCUCUCCUCCCAGGCCUGGAGCACUCUGCUCAGCCUGGAGCGCUGCCCCUGCCAGUGCCAAGCAGGAGACACAGGAAGGAAGAGCUGCGAGUUCAGCCCCAAGCCACCUAUGAUGCAGCUGAGGGAGAAGUGGAGGAAAUACCUGAAUCACCUGCCCCUCCGUGUCCAGCGCACGACGCCAGGACUGGAAGGAGUCGAUGACAAGAGCAAUCGCCGGCUCCUUCCUGCCGCAAGCAAUGGCCCCAGGUCCUGGUACUUGUCAGGCUCUGCCCCACGGCCCCAUCCCCUGCCCUCCACAGAGCGGUGCCACAUCCACCCUGCCCACGUGGGAGCCACACUGGCCUCUCAUCCCAUUGCCGGUUCGCGGUGAAUCUGCGCUGUGGGAACAGCGAUGUCGCCUUCCACUUCCACCUGCGCUGUGAUGAGAACGGCCCGUGGUCACAUGCAACAUGGAGCAGGGUGGGAGCUGCUGGAAGAGGAAGAGCGGGCCGACCCCGUGCCAUUCCAGCCGGGCGCCUGCCUUGUGAUGAUGGCGGGCGUCCAGAGUCAGUGCUACAAGUUCCAGGUGCAGGGGAGCCUGCCUGUCCCUUCCUGGACAGAGCGCAACCCUGCCAGGCCAUUUCCCACCACAGCCCGAUAAGCGGUCGGACUUGCUCUUCAUGGACACGGCCCUGCUCUGCCAGAAACUGUCUUCACACGCACUGACCCUGCUCUUCCAGGACAUUCCAUCACCACGGCCAUGACAGACAGCCCCUGCGUCCCCUCACGGACACAGCCCCGCUCGGCCAGGCUCAUCCCCCCCACAGCCUUCACUGGGUGCCUAUUGGUCCUUCAGUAGACACGGCCAUGCUGGGAGACCCUGCCCCAACACAGCCCUGACCAACUGCCGGUUGUCCCGCCUGUCCCCACACAGCUCAGUAAUCAAUCAAUCAAUCAAAUCAAAUUGGCACUGUCCUUUCUUUACAAAGCAUGGUGUAUGUGCCUAUGAAUUCUGUUAUGGCUGCCGAGUCCCAUGCACAAGUGACAGUCGAGCCCACAGGUAGGGCACAGCCAUGCACUAGCAAAGCAGUGCUCCGAUUCUUUCUUCCUCUGACACUGGUGAUCACAAAACUUGAUCCAGUCUGCCUCACAGCGCCUCACUGCAUCUGCAAGCUGACUCUGCCAACCAGAGUGGCCAUCCACACUCCUUUCCCAAGCCUCCACAGCAAAUCUAAAGGAUGCUAAGUCAUCUUUGCAAGCUUCCUGAAAUCUGCACAGCCGCCCGCCUCUUUUCUAGACCCUUCGUGAGCUUCAGAGGACAUCACAUUCCUUGGGACCCCGUGAUCCGGCAUUUACCUGAUAUGACCAAGCCACCUGAGUCUUUUCUUACUAAUAAACAUUCCCAUGGAUGACAUACUAGCAGGAUUUGACACUUCUUAAUCUGUCACCCUGUCUUGCCUUCUUAUUCAAAGAAUUUUAUGCAGGCAUCUGAUAUGAAAGCUGUUAAGUCUUUUGGUAUGUUUGGUGUACGUCAUCUAUGUUUUUGAGCUGUAUAGAAGAGUGGAUAAAACACAGGCCUCAUAUAUAUGUUUUCAUUUUAGUUCAGGGUUUGUUAAUGGUCCAGGUUCUGUCUUGCAAAAAAACAAAGUUCCUGGCUGCUUUGCUGAUCCUACUAGUGAGCUCAGCAUCAAGAUCUACAUUGCUGGGAACAGUCGAGCCAAGGGAGAAAAAUUGGUCAACAACAUCCAGACGAGUACCAUCUAGGAUGACAUCUGGAACCGGUUCUGAAAAGCCUUGGUGCACGAUAGCGGUCUUCUUCAAGCCCAAGGGUUUUGCAUGAGUCAGAGGACUUGGUAACGAGAUGUUGUGUAACCCUGGGUGUGACACUACAUGCGCCCUCACCUGAAUAAUGGGAUCCUGGGGUACCCGGUAACCAGUCGCCCUGCCCAGCCCCCCUGGGAAGCUGCUGCAGUGCCCCCGAGUGGAGAGCCUCCCCUUACAAUCAAGCACCCUUGCAGACAGUUCUCAAGCUAUUUACAGGAUUUAAUUAUUUACAACAUAACAAAUAAUCAUUAAAUAAGCAUAUGGAUA